Molecule: long non-coding RNA, 5061 nt
Filed under: Zostera marina
Lineage: Eukaryota; Viridiplantae; Streptophyta; Magnoliopsida; Alismatales; Zosteraceae
Description: long non-coding RNA (ZMAR_LNC000522)
Source: RNAcentral
UUAUCGCUCUAUUGUCUCAUAUUCAUGACAUCCAAAGUAAUUAUGUCUUCCUCCACCAUAAUUUUCAUGUUCAUCCUAUUUAUAAUGACCGACAAGUUCAACUCCACCAUAAACACAAUGUUCAAUUCAUCGACAAGUUCAACUCCGAAAAUCAUUCUUUCACCUUGAUCGACAACCAAUUUGCGGAUAUGACAAACGAAGAAUUUAAAGCAACAUAUCUAAAUCAUGAGAUUACUGAAAACCCCACACAAUAUUGUGAAAAGGUAAUCUUUGAUAUUUCUCAAGAAAAGCCACCUCCUGCCAAUUUGGAUUGGAGGAAGAAAGGAGCUGUUACCUCAGUUAAGAGCCAAGGAUCAUGUGGUAAUUAACAGACAUAUUAAUUACUUUGCCAUUUUUUAGUUUUAAUUUUUUGUCACACAAGAAUUGACGUGUUUAUAUUUUAUGCAGGAUCUUGUUGGGCAUUCGCAACUGCGGCCACUGUAGAAAGUCUAACGUUUCAAAAAACAAACCAACUUCUAAAUUUGUCUGCCCAGCAAUUGGUCUCAUGUGACGGUGGCAAUGCCGGGUGUGAAGGAGGCGACCGACCUACAGCUUUUGAAUACGUAAUGAAAAAUGGUUUGGCUACAUCAGAAGAUUACCCAUAUAAGGAGGAGAAUGGUACGUGUAAAUUAAACUUCCAAAAAGCUGCAACUAUAGAUGGUUGUAAAAGUGUCGAACCCGGUAGCGAAGUCCAAUUGUUAUAUGCUGUUGUAAAACGACCAGUGUCUGUCGGAAUCGACUUUGAUUUGGUCAAACCACCGUACCGAUUUUACCAUAGAGGAAUAUACUCUGCUUGCUCAACAUGUGGAAAGCAGGAACUGGACCAUGCCGUUGUGGUUGUUGGUUAUGGACGUAAUGGGUCAUCAAACUACUGGAUUAUUAAAAAUUCAUACGGUGAAGAUUGGGGUGAAGAUGGUUAUAUGAUGAUGGUACGAAAUGUUUGUGAUGGACAAGGUGCGUGUGGGAUUACACAAAAGGCAGUAUACCCUAUUUAAUUUGGUUCAAGGUAAUGAGUUUGAGUAAUUUGGUAAGUGAGUGAGCGUUUGGUAAUUAUUGGUGUGUAUUCAUUUUCACUUUUAAGAUCCGUUGGAUUUUGAUUUUUGCUUGUAACUCUUUUGUUUUGUUUGUGAUAAUAAAUUGAGAUGGUUGAUUGAAAUGAUUGUUUAUGCGUGGAGGAACACAAAUUAUUGGAGUGUUUAAAAAAUAGGAAUUUAUAUUGUUUGAUAAAAUGUGAAAUCAUUUAUGUCAAAUCGCAUUCAUUUAAGAUUUUUAAAUCUUGUGCAUGAGGAGCUCAAUCCUUCGUCGUGAGUAAGGGUGAGAACCCCGGGGCAGAAUACCUGCUCCGUUUUUGUUUUGCAUCGUGCCUCGCUGCCCCGAUCAUAUUCCAGGGCUGGUCUCGGGGCAAGACCAAGCCCGGACGGCACGCCAAUCAACCCAACUGUGAACCCAAGGUAAAUCUUAAAUUUACCUUGAAAUUAAAUAAAUAUAUUGGUUUUUUUUUUUAUGUUGAUGUAGUUUUUGGGGUUUCUUUUUAUAACUAUAUUAGGAUUGGAGAAGAGGGUCCCGCGCUGCAAAUUUUUAUUUUUUUAAAUUUUAUUUUGUAGGUAAUUAGAGACGGGUCGUCCUGGAUCCGCCCCGUUUCGCAUCCCGGUCGUCGGGGCAGGGGCGGGUCUCGGGGCAGGGAAUCAUAGUACCUGACACGUCCCGUUCUGCGUCCCGGUUUUUGAAACUGGGACAGAUACCGGGGUAGUUCACUACUGAUCGAUUGGUAUCGAGUAAGACACCAAACAAUCUCUUUUAUACAAGAAUCUUCCUACUCUAUUACAUUGUUUUCUCCCCUUUUUCAGUUCAACCCCUAGGAGUAUUUAUACAUUUUCCUACUGGACCGGGACUUUCUUUAACCUUUUGUGCCGGACUACGAUCCGACCGAUCCGUCAAGGCAAGCGGGUCGGGUACAACUUACUGGGCUAACAGGGCAUUGUCGGACUUGGUCUGAGGGUGGGCCUGGUCUGAUGGACCAGGGGUAUCAUCAAAGGUUUAGAUUAAUGAAACUUCAUCAAUUACACAUUUUCUCUGAAUAAAUAUGAACGGACGGUGAUUGGGGUGAAGUAGGAAAAAAUCAAAAUUGUAUUUAUUUACUUUAAUUUGCACGCUUCAGUAACCUAAUGUUUUAUAAACAUGGUUACUUGUUUGGGCAGUUAAAAUUGCUAUAAAAUAAAUUAUAACACAAAUUUGCUUAAAAUAAAUUAUAACAUAAAAUAAGUAUGGUUAGUACAACGAACGAAAGAUAGGCUUCUUCAAAUUGGAAAGGAAAAGAGACUGUUUUCGAAAACACGACUACUGAUGGAGCACUAGAAAUUUGGUCGAAAAAAUUCAAGGAAUUGGAGGUAUUUUGAAUAUAAUUCAAUAAUUUUAUACUCAUUUAUGAUUUCAUUUUCAGAACAAGUGUAACGAGAGUCAAAAAGGCAUGUCGAAAUACAAGAAGAGGUUCAAUUCAAUGAAAUCUUAUUCCAAACAGAUGACUAAAGUUUUGAAGUCUUCCGGCGUCGACUUGACGAACAUGCUUUCCACUUCGAAGUCCAACAUGAUACUGUCUGCAUUAGAAUCAGAUAAUUCGGAUUCAGACGACUCUAUUUCCAAGGAGUGUUGAUUAUGGUAAACUUGUAUUUUAGUUUUUAAACUUCGAAUGUCUAACGAUUCUGUAUUUCAGUUUCUUUAAAAAAAAUAGCAUAAACAUUGUAUGGCGGAAAUCCGUCAUCCAUACUAUUAUACUAAGGUUUAUGAUGAUGCACGAAACAUAACGAUUCAAACGCUCAAUAUAAUACCCUAUUUUUUAAAAAAAUAGCACAAACAUUGUAUGAUGAAAGUCCGCCAUCCAUACUAUUAUACUAAGGUUUACAUGGCGGACGUCCGUCAUCUAUAUAUGGGGCCAACCGCCCUCUCCCAGUUAUAGAUGGCGGAUGUCCGCCAUCUAUAUACGCAGGCAACCGCUUGACGUACUUAUGAUGGCGGAUUUCCGCCAUCUAAUGUUACAAAGAUAGUCGACGGGCAUCAAGCAUCAAUAAAAUUAACCGCCAUCGAUAAAUUGACGCCAACUUUUUCCGCGUCAUAUUUUACAUGGCGGCGGAUGUCCGCCAUCUUAUAAUUUUCAGUUCCCGCGAAAAUUUUAAGAUUAGAUGGCGGAAAUCCGUCAUGUAUAUUUUUUUUGUGGAAAAUGGGGAUGAAUAAUAGAUGGCGGUCUUUAGAUGACGGUUAUGGGGUUAUAAUGACGGUCUUUAGAUGACGGAUUUCCGCCAUUGAUCACUAAUGACGGCGGAAAUCCGCCAUCUAAAGACCGCCACACAAGGUUUUAUUUCUUGUAGUGUCCUUCCAAAAUUUGAAAGUGAAUAUCUUGUCCCUAUUUGAAACAAUAGAGCUUGGUAUUCCAUGUUGCUUGAUGAUCAUUGUCGUGAAUAAUUUAGAUACCAUGCUUGCAUUAAAAUUUGUGGGCAAAGCUCCAAAAUGGGCAUAUUUUGAAAUCCUAUCCACUACUACCAUUAUGACUGUUUUUCCUUGUGUUUGUGGUAGCUCAGUGAUGAAGUCCAUUGUUACGUCCUUUCAAACCAUAUUAGGUAUGGGUAAUGGCAUGAGUAGACCUGCCUUCUUUUGGUUUAUAGGCUUCAUCUGUUGAUAAAUUUUGCAAUUUAACACAAAUUCUCUAAUAUCUUUAGACAUACCUUCCCACCAAAAUUGUAGAUUUAUUCUUUUGAUGGUUGCCUUGAUUUCAGAAUGCCCUCCAGUUAUUGCAGAGUGGUAUAUUCUUUCAUAAUUUCUUUCUUGAUGUCAGAAUUUUUUAAUAAAUAUAUUCUGCCUAUAAAUUUAAUAAUAUCUCCUUACACUGUAAAUCCUACUUUUGAGUUAGGAUUUUUGCUAAUAUCUGAUACGAUCCUAAAUUCACAGAUUAACUCAAUCAAAAAUCGAGGGACCUGAGGAUAGAGGAUGCUCUGGAUCUGAAUGUCUAACGACGAUCCAGAUAUCCAAAGCAGUACGUUCACGGCGGGGUAACCCCUGAUAUCGAGUCUAAGCUCAGGACGAAUGUAUGCGGUUAGGCUAUUCGCGCGAGGGCUCGAUUCGGCAGUGGAUGCUAGAUCCAGAAUAAGGCAGACGGCGGCGAGAUUUUCCGACGAAGAUCGUGACGGCGGGAUGAAGCAGAUUGAUGUAGUCGUAGGGAAAUGAAUAUGGAAAUUUUGUAAUUUUUAAUUUGAUACCAAUAUUUGAAUAAUGGAAUUGAAAUAAAUAAAUAUUUGAAUAUCUCAAUAUUUAAUUUCAAGAGUAAUGACGUACUAAACCCUAGAAAUUAGUUUAAAUGAGAUUACGAAAUAACAUUAGUUAAAAGCACCCACUGGUUAUUUCAUUAAUUAGGAUAUUUUAAGCAUGCAUUUUUAAUAUAAAAAAAUAAAUAUUUUUAACAUGCAUUGUUAAUAUUUAAAAAAAAACUUCUAGUCGCAUUUUAAAUUUUAAUAAAAAAAUACUUGUUUAUAUUUGAAGGAAAAUGAAAUAAAAAUUAAUUAACACCAAAGUUUCAGUCUAUAUAAGAAAAAAUCAAUGGAAGCAAAGAAACACAACACAUACUUAUCGCUCUAUUGUCUCAUAUUCAUGACAUCCAAAGUAAUUAUGUCUUCCUCCACCAUAAUUUUCAUGUUCAUCCUAUUUAUAAUGACCGCAGUCGUUUCUUCCUCAUCUCCCAAUACUACUAUAGAAACGGCACUCAAAGAUAGGUACAAGAAGUGGCUUGGUCAGUAUGGGAAUCUCCGUCCUUCAAAUAUGAGGAACAUGGAUUUGAAGAGCCGAUUUGAGAUAUAUAAACACAAUGUUCAAUUCAUCGACAAGUUCAACUCCGAAAAUCAUUCUUUCACCUUGAUCGACAACCAAUUUGCGGAUAUGACAAACGAAGAAUUUAAAGCAACAUACCUAAAUCAUGAGAUUACUGAAAACCCCACACAAUAUUGUGAAAAGGUAAUCUUUGAUAUUUCUCAAGAAAAG